GUUCAAGCGAAAAAGAGCGUAAGGUGAAUGCCUUGGCACUGAGAGCCGAAGAAGGACGUGAUUACCUGCGAUAAGCCGCGGUUAGAUGGAAAUAAUCUUUGACCCGCGGAUUUCCGAAUGGGGCAACCCCUACGGUGAAGAACCGUAGAUCCGUAACUGAAUACAUAGGUUACGGAAGGGAACCUCCCGAACUGAAACAUCUAAGUAGGGAGAGGAAAAGAAAUCAAACGAGAUUCCGAGAGUAGUGGCGAGCGAAAUCGGAGGAGGCUAAACCAUAUUCAGAAAUGAAUAUGGGGUAUGGACAGACAAAACGCACGGCGAAGCGUAGCCGAACGACAUGGGAAGGUCGAUCAGAGAGAGUGAGAAUCUCGUAGGCGAAACGCUGAACCGGCAGUCUGUAUCCGGAGUAUCUACAGACACGAGGAAUCUGUAGAGAAGGAAGGGGGCCCACCCUCUAAGCCUAAAUACUAAUCAGUGACCGAUAGUGAAGCAGUACUGUGAAGGAAAGGUGAAAAGAACCCCUGGCGGGGAGUGAAAUAGAACCUGAAACCUUAUGUUUACAAGCACACAAAGCGCCAUGAGCGCGAUGUGGUACUUUUUGUAGAACGGUCCGGCGAGUUUAUGUAUGUAGCGAGGUUAAGUACUUAAGGUACGGAGCCGCAGGGAAACCGAGUGUUAAUAGCGCUACAGUUACAUGCAUAAGACCCGAAACCGGGUGACCUAUCCAUGUGCAGGUUGAAGUUGAGGUGAAACUCAAUGGAGGACCGAACCGACCCCCGUUGAAAAGUUGGCGGAUGACGUGUGG
Molecule: ribosomal RNA, 805 nt
Filed under: Bacteroidales bacterium
Lineage: Bacteria; Pseudomonadati; Bacteroidota; Bacteroidia; Bacteroidales
Description: partial 23S ribosomal RNA
Rfam family: Bacterial large subunit ribosomal RNA
Source: RNAcentral